Molecule: RNA transcript, 2688 nt
Organism: Solanum pennellii
Lineage: Eukaryota; Viridiplantae; Streptophyta; Magnoliopsida; Solanales; Solanaceae
Gene name: RING-H2 finger protein ATL47-like
Exons: 3
Source: RefSeq, a predicted model, not a curated record
UAAGGACCCAAAACGACAUAUACUCUUCCUUUACGUUUCUCCCACAGCGGUAUCAGAGAGAAGCUUGCAGGAGGAUAAGAAGCGCAGAGAAGCAAUGGAGUUCGUCCCUUCGGGGACAUCCGAUAAAAUUGGAACGAUACAGAGAAGAUUAGCAUGGCCCCUGCGCAAGGAUGACACGCACAAAUCGAGAAAUGGUCCAAAUUUUUUUGCUGGCGUCGGCGCUGGUGCUCCGGUCAGUCUGUAUUUUUUUGCCGGCCGUCGGCGGCGCGUAAGCUAUUUUGGAGUCUUUCAGUCAGUUUUAUUUUCUGUUUCUUCUGGAUUCAAUUAGUAUAUUAUCAACAUUUGAUUUCCAUGGCUCCUCUCGUAAAAAAAACCUAGUUCAAUUAAUGUAUUGUGAUUCUGUUUUACUUCCUUGGUUUAGACUUAAUUUGCAUCUGUAGUUUUAUCAGUACAUUGUGAUUCUGUUUUACUUCCCCAAUUAAUUUGCAUCUGAAGUUUGAUCAGAAUCCCCAAAUUCAUGUUUUUUGCUAAUUAGGUUAAGCCGUUUGAUUGACUUACUAUUUUGUUGUAAUUGUUGGUUACAAUUACAGUAAUUUCAGUUUAGAUGGCUAAUACAGCUUCUAUCAGAACAAAUAACUCAGCCUUCACUGCUAUGAUUGCUGAUGAGGUGAUUCACUAUUUAACCUUUCACUAAUAACCAAUAUGCUUUUAUAUCUAUCUUUACAAAUUGAAUUUGUUACCUAAAAUGCGUGGAGGUCAGAAGGUUAGUAAGAGUAUUCUUGCACUUUGUUAUAUUGUCUUCUAUGGUUAUUAUUUUCUGUUGUUUCAUUUUGUUUGAAUCUUGUUGUUUUGCUGUCAUAUUUCUUGCUACCAUGCUUCGAGUCCUUUUCUUUUCUUGUCGAGCCAUGGGUCUAUUGAAAACAACUUCUCUACACUACAAAGUUUUAAGGUCUACAUCCUAACCUCCCCGGAACUCACUUGUGGGAUUACACCGGGUAUGUUGUUGUUGUUGAAUGGAUUCGUUGAUGUAAAUGAUGGUGUAUGAAACUGAUAGUGUUAUGAGAUUGAAUAUGUUCUUAAAUCUAAUUUCUGAUUCUAACAAACUCCAAAGUGGAAAUAAGUAGACAUCAAGUAUACUGGUUGUGUAAUGGACCCUUAUCGACAAGUCAAUUCUUUUUAUCUUAUUCCAAUUGCAGGGAAAUUGGAAUUUUAAAUUCAUGUUCUCUUUAGCUGAUUAGCGUGCUUAGGAACUGGUUAAUGUAGGAUACAAUCACAGGAAUUUUUUACUAGCAGGAGUUGGUAAUAUUGAUUCGAUGAGGGAAACUAACUAUCUUGUUGUCGAUUCAAGUAUGUUUUCAACUUAUUAUUGUGAUUUAAUAGCUGAAGAACUUAUGAAUGAAAGAAAAUCGAGGUUGCUUGUUUUAUCACUCUAAUUUUUUUAGAAAGAAUGUAAUGUAUAUAUAUAUAUUUCCGUUUCUUAUGGUUUAUAUGUAAUGGUGAAGCAGAUUGAAGAUGCUUUUAAAGAAUUCAUCUCAAGGGAGGACAUUGGGCAAUAUUGUUAAUCAGCCAAUAUGGCAGAAUCCGUACAAUCAUUUCAACUGCUGGUUUUAACUUUGACAUGGAGAAUGUCGAAUAAAUUAGCAUGUUAGUGCUUAUUGGAGUGGCAGAGAGAAUACUCGUUGGACAGUGAAAAAGGAUGCUGGUGUUGACGUCUCUAUCGAUGAAGUGAUACCAGUAACGAGGGAUGGAGCGAUUAGAAUAGGUGGUACGUGGCUACAUUUGCUGUAAGAAUGAGAAGAAGGAACAUAACGGUUGUAUCGACUUCAAUGACUUAUUGACAACAUGUUAGAUACCAACGACACAUUUACACUUGUUGUUUUUUGAUUUAGAGGGUGUCAAGGCUUGGUGUGCUGUUUUGGCUUGACCAUUUCUUCUGUGUUGGUUGAGCAAUUGGAGAAAGUGUAUACACUACGUACUAAUGGAGAUUGCGUUGACUUGGUGUAAACACCCAGCAAGAUUGGAAGUAGAAGUAGGCGAUCCCCCUAUGAUCGUUCUUCCAGAAGAAGACGAUACGAUCAUCCCUUCGUUUUGGGAUUACAAGCCACAAUGACUUCACACAGUGAUGAAAUUACAAUUAUUAACGUCAGUAGUCGUGAUUUAGUGGAAAGGGCAUUAAGGCAGCAGCAUGUACCAGGCUAUAUCAAUGGCGGAUCAUCACCAAAUUCUUCAGAUGAUUUUGAUGAUGAACUUCUGUUUGAUGAUCAAGAGAGUGAAUUGUAUGAUGAUCAAGAGGCUUCUACGAAGGAGAAAGAGGACGAUGCUAUAUUAUUGGGGUAUUUUAGAACAAGAAUUUUUCGUGCUGCUGAUGGUGUAAACAAUCCCACAGAAACUGAAGAAACUUGUGCCAUAUGUCAAGCGGAAUUUGAGCAUGAAGAGUCCAUUGGUACACUUGGGUGCGGACAUGAAUAUCAUACAGGUUGCAUCAAACAAUGGUUGCUGAGGAAGAAAGAGUGUCCCAUGUGUCGAGCUUCUGUUUUGCCCUUAAAGCAUAGCAUAUAGAGAUUGUUUUAUUAUUAUAAAAUUCCGUUGUAUUAUACUUAGUAAGACAAUUAGUUAUUCUCAAGUAGUGGAUGUAACGCACUAUAUAUUUUUUUAUAAAUACAAUAACAAUUUGUUUCCUAUCCUAAA